Molecule: microRNA, 24 nt
Filed under: Homo sapiens (human)
Lineage: Eukaryota; Metazoa; Chordata; Mammalia; Primates; Hominidae
Description: hsa-miR-3670
Source: miRBase by way of RNAcentral
AGAGCUCACAGCUGUCCUUCUCUA